UCUCAGCUACCGGGUCGGGGGGGGGCUUCCAGCUGUGAACUCACCAGGAGCUGAUAUCAGGCUCCAAUUUAGGGGCAGGGGUCAAGGUCAGACAAAAGUCAGGAAGACUGGAGUGCUCGUGGGGGAGCACCGAAGAGGGAGAGGGCUCCCCACCCCCCUGCACAGGUCACAGGGGUCGCCGAGAUGCAGGAGACACGGGUUUGAUCCCUGGUCCGGGGAGAUCCCCCAUGACCCGGAGCAACUAAGCCGCGUGCACCAGAACCCUGAGCCUGCUGUAGAGCAGCCCCUGAAGCCUGCAUCCAGAGCCGGUGCUCCACAGGAAGAGGAGCCUCCCCCCGCCAGCAACGAGGACCCAGAACAGCCAAAACCCAGCCCAGGGCCAGCCCCAUCGACCGGAUCAUCCCCGACUGGUCGACCCGACCCGCAGCGACUCAUCCGUGUUUGUGCCACGAACCCCCUGGACACCUGGAAACCCAGGGACCCCUCCUCAGAACAUCAGUGUCCACGUGGAAGUAGUUGAUU
Molecule: long non-coding RNA, 522 nt
Organism: Bubalus bubalis (water buffalo)
Lineage: Eukaryota; Metazoa; Chordata; Mammalia; Artiodactyla; Bovidae
Exons: 3
Source: RefSeq, a predicted model, not a curated record